GGAAAAGAAACUAACAAGGAUUCCCCUAGUAACGGCGAGUGAAGCGGGAAGAGCUCAAAUUUGUAAUCUGGCACCUUCGGUGUCCGAGUUGUAAUCUCGAGAAGUGUUUUCCGCGCCGGACCGCAUACAAGUCUGUUGGAAUACAGCGUCAUAGUGGUGAGAACCCCGUAACUGAUGCGGAUGCCCGGUGCUUUGUGAUACACUUUCGAAGAGUCGAGUUGUUUGGGAAUGCAGCUCAAAUUGGGUGGUAAAUUCCAUCUAAAGCUAAAUAUUGGCGAGAGACCGAUAGCGAACAAGUACCGUGAGGGAAAGAUGAAAAGCACUUUGGAAAGAGAGUUAACAGUACGUGAAAUUGUUGGAAGGGAAACGCUUGAAGUCAGACUUGCUAUUUGGAAUUCAGCCGCAAGGUGUACUUUUCAAUUCGCAGGCCAGCAUCAGUUUUCGGGGGUGGAAAAGGGUAGAGAGAAGGUAGCAAUUUCGGUUGUGUUAUAGCUCUUUGCUGGAUUCAUCCUUGGGGACUGAGGAACGCAGCACGCUUUUUGCAAGGCUUUCGAGCUUUUCGUGC
This 565-nucleotide ribosomal RNA is filed under the name Phenoliferia psychrophenolica. RNAcentral's name for it is "partial large subunit ribosomal RNA". It matches the Rfam family "Eukaryotic large subunit ribosomal RNA", at positions 55 to 626 of the family's 3401-position model. The record is from RNAcentral. Lineage: Eukaryota; Fungi; Basidiomycota; Microbotryomycetes; Kriegeriales; Kriegeriaceae.